This 497-nucleotide ribosomal RNA is filed under the name uncultured bacterium. RNAcentral's name for it is "partial 16S ribosomal RNA". It matches the Rfam family "Bacterial small subunit ribosomal RNA", at positions 28 to 507 of the family's 1533-position model. The record is from RNAcentral.
GAUGAACGCUGGCGGCGUGCCUAAUACAUGCAAGUCGAGCGAACAGACGAGGAGCUUGCUCCUCUGACGUUAGCGGCGGACGGGUGAGUAACACGUGGAUAACCUACCUAUAAGACUGGGAUAACUUCGGGAAACCGGAGCUAAUACCGGAUAAUAUAUUGAACCGCAUGGUUCAAUAGUGAAAGACGGUUUUGCUGUCACUUAUAGAUGGAUCCGCGCCGCAUUAGCUAGUUGGUAAGGUAACGGCUUACCAAGGCAACGAUGCGUAGCCGACCUGAGAGGGUGAUCGGCCACACUGGAACUGAGACACGGUCCAGACUCCUACGGGAGGCAGCAGUAGGGACUCUUCCGCAAUGGGCGCACGCCUGACGGAGCAACGCCGCGUGAGUGAUGAAGGUCUUCGGAUCGUAAAACUCUGUUAUUAGGGAAGAACAAAUGUGUAAGUAACUAUGCACGUCUUGACGGUACCUAAUCAGAAAGCCACGGCUAACUACGUG